Molecule: transfer RNA, 66 nt
Filed under: Streptococcus pneumoniae
Lineage: Bacteria; Bacillati; Bacillota; Bacilli; Lactobacillales; Streptococcaceae
Description: tRNA-Asp
Rfam family: tRNA
About the family: Transfer RNA (tRNA) molecules are approximately 80 nucleotides in length. Their secondary structure includes four short double-helical elements and three loops (D, anti-codon, and T loops).
Source: RNAcentral
CCCGUAGUGUAGCGGUUAUCACGUCGCCCUGUCACGGCGAAGAUCGCGGGUUCGAUUCCCGUCGGG